CGAGCUCGGAGCCUUCGCCCGGGUGUGAGGUCCCGCCGUGGAGACCCAGGGGGCCGAGCUCUGCUGCCAUUUUCUGCCGGCCCAGGGCCAGGGGGAAUCGCAGGGAGCGGGUCCUUGUCACACCCGCAGGCUGCAAGGACACCGCGGGAUCCAGGUCUUGCUCACCUGCCCUUGGGCAGUGGUGACUGGAAUCCUUCAGGUGUGCCAGCACGCCAGCAGCAGGACUACACUCCACUGAGCGGGAGGAUUUUUU
Molecule: long non-coding RNA, 253 nt
Organism: Ficedula albicollis (Collared flycatcher)
Lineage: Eukaryota; Metazoa; Chordata; Aves; Passeriformes; Muscicapidae
Exons: 3
Source: RefSeq, a predicted model, not a curated record